AGUGAGCGCUGGCGGUAGGCCUAACACAUGCAAGUCGAACGGCAGCACAGUAAGAGCUUGCUCUUACGGGUGGCGAGUGGCGGACGGGUGAGGAAUACAUCGGAAUCUACUUUUUCGUGGGGGAUAACGUAGGGAAACUUACGCUAAUACCGCAUACGACCUGCGGGUGAAAGCAGGGGAUCUUCGGACCUUGCGCGAUUGAAUGAGCCGAUGUCGGAUUAGCUAGUUGGCGGGGUAAAGGCCCACCAAGGCGACGAUCCGUAGCUGGUCUGAGAGGAUGAUCAGCCACACUGGAACUGAGACACGGUCCAGACUCCUACGGGAGGCAGCAGUGGGGAAUAUUGGACAAUGGGCGCAAGCCUGAUCCAGCCAUACCGCGUGGGUGAAGAAGGCCUUCGGGUUGUAAAGCCCUUUUGUUGGGAAAGAAAAGCAGCAGGUUAAUACCCCGCUGUUCUGACGGUACCCAAAGAAUAAGCACCGGCUAACUUCGUG
This 492-nucleotide ribosomal RNA is filed under the name uncultured bacterium. RNAcentral's name for it is "partial 16S ribosomal RNA". It matches the Rfam family "Bacterial small subunit ribosomal RNA", at positions 29 to 507 of the family's 1533-position model. The record is from RNAcentral.